Molecule: long non-coding RNA, 847 nt
Filed under: Homo sapiens (human)
Lineage: Eukaryota; Metazoa; Chordata; Mammalia; Primates; Hominidae
Description: HSALNT0270808
Source: RNAcentral
GAAGCUGUAUCUUCAAAAUGUGUCAAUUUGGCUAAAGAGAAUCAAGUUUUUCAACAGGAGUUAUUAUCUAUGAAAAAAGUACAACAGGAAUGUGAAAAACUUGAGGAGGAUAAAAAGAUGUUGGAAGAAGAAAUAUUAAAUCUUAAGACACAUAUGGAAAACAGUAUGGUAGAACUUAGUAAACUACAAGAAUAUAAAUCAGAGCUAGAUGAAAGGGCAAUGCAGGCAGUAGAAAAAUUAGAAGAAAUCCAUUUACAGGAACAAGCACAAUAUAAAAAACAAUUAGAGCAGUUAAACAAGGAUAUAAUACAGCUUCACUAAAUAAGAAGGAACUCACACUUAAAGAUGUGGAAUGUAAAUUCUACAAAAUGAAAACUGCUUAUGAAGAGGUUACAACUGAGUUAGAAGAAUAUAAGGAAGCCUUUGCAGCAGCAUUGAAAGCUAACAGUUCCAUGUCUAAAAAAUUAACUAGAUCGAAUAAGAAAAUAGCAAUGAUCAGUAUCAGCUCUUUAUGGAGAAAGAGCAGGUGAAAUAUUUUCUCAGCACUCUUCCUACAAGGCGAGGUCGAGAGUCACCUUGUGUUGAAAAUCUUACUAGUAUAGGACUCAACAGAAAAUAUAUUCUCCAAAUGCCCGUAAGAAUUCCUACUUCAAACCUCAGACUUCAAAUAACUGCCAGAACUACUUGACUGAGCUGUUGCUGUAUUGGACACUUGCUCCCAUCUACUUUCUUCUCUAGAAUCCACGGGUAAGCCACAUCUAAUGAAGAGAAUAUUUAACCAUAAAGUCUUAAGGAAAAAUUCUAUGAUGAUUUAAAAGAUUAUAAAACUUUAUUACUGGGCUAUUUA